This 76-nucleotide transfer RNA is filed under the name Aureimonas fodinaquatilis. RNAcentral's name for it is "Aureimonas sp. CAU 1482 tRNA-Trp". It matches the Rfam family "tRNA". Rfam says of the family: Transfer RNA (tRNA) molecules are approximately 80 nucleotides in length. Their secondary structure includes four short double-helical elements and three loops (D, anti-codon, and T loops). Lineage: Bacteria; Pseudomonadati; Pseudomonadota; Alphaproteobacteria; Hyphomicrobiales; Aurantimonadaceae. The record is from RNAcentral.
AGGGGUAUAGCUCAGUUGGUAGAGCGGCGGUCUCCAAAACCGCAGGUCGUGGGUUCGAGUCCCUCUGCCCCUGCCA